CUGCAUGUGAAGGAGGAAGAGUAAGUAUGGCAAAUAUGAAGUUUACGUGUUUGUAACGUGCGCAAUGUUGGGUUUAUUAGAAAAUCUUGUAAAAUUUAAAUGUUUAAUAUUUGAUUUUAAUGUACAUGGGGAAGCGACAAUAGUAGGUUGAAUGGUAGUGACAUAUUUUGUAAAUAUUGUAGUAAAGAAAGGGAAAUUAGUUAUUUAGGUUGAGAAUCAUUGUGAGAUUAACACCUAAGCAUGACAUGUAUGUAGAUAAAAUUAUAUACUAAAUGUUACUCUUCCAAAAUGUAAAGAGAUUUUUUUUAUCAAGACCAAAAUCCAACCAAUUUAAUUUCCGUUGAACAAUAUAUACACACAGUCAAAUCUAAAAAAUGUUUCCAACUAUAAAAAAGUUAUAAAGCUAUAAAUAGGAAUUGUUCAUAGUAACCAGAGGUAUCAAAAAGAGACAAACAUAGAAGAUACACAAGACUAAAAAAUAAAAGAUGGAGAAGAAGUGCAUGUGCAUGUUGAUGAUUAUGUUCAUUGCAUUGACGUUGAUGCCAUUACCAGGAAUGAGUGAAUCGUAUGAAUCUUGUUAUGAAAGGUGCAUUCACUCGUGCCAAAUAUUUUUUGAGGGAGUUGAAAAAUGCAUUCAUGAUUGUGUUGGUAUCAAAUGUCAUAAAACACAUUUACUCCCUCGGAUGGAGGCUAAAAAGAUGUUUCAAGAAAUUCAUACAUAGAGAGAUAUGUUAUUAAAAACACAUGAUGUUUAAAUUUACUACUCUUUGAAUUAUAUAAUUUUGAAUAAUAAAAUUCCAUCAUUUUUAGAAUUCAGUUGUUUUCACAACAUCUUCUAUUGCACAUUUUUAAUUGUUGUGUUGUAUCAUAGAUCUUAUUGGUUCAUAGUAUGUCUAAAUUUACAUAUGGGCAUGUACCAUUUAGAGUUUCAGGCCAUCCAAACAUUAGAUAACUCAUUGCACCCAAUCUAAGAAUAUAAAAGAUUAAGAGUUUGAUUGGUAGAAUGUGAUUUUUUUUUUCUUUAGAAAGAGGCUAUAAAUUUUUGUGCUGUAAUUGUAGAUGUAGCUGUAAUUUCUAUUGCUAUAUUUUCAAAUUUAACUUUUAUAACUUCUAAUUAUUUAUUUAAAGCAUGAUUUAUAAAUUGAAGUUGUAGAAAGCACCGAGAUCAGUUACCAAUAACCCCUUAAAAAUGUGGAAAUUGUUUUGUUUUAUGUGAUAUUAGAAAUCUUCUGUAUUAAAAAAGAAUUACAAAAAAUCUAAUGUACCAAAGUCAUAGGAAAAUAAUGUCAUUAAUCAUUUAAUAUAGCAUAUUUGAUAGCGUAAGAAUCUACAUUAUAAUAGGACAGUUGCAUCACUCCUGAUGCGACACGUCAGUGAUUUGUGGGUCUCAUUUUUAAAAAGUGUGAAAAAGUGUCAAGUCUGUAACCCGAACCCGGGUUAUUGAGAUCUAAACAACAACAUUUAUACCACUAAGCUAAAGGAUUCUUUGUACAUUGAUGGCUGAAACAAAUAUAUAUUUAUGAAGGUCGGAAACCUUUGCUUCUUCGGUUUUCUUUGUGGGACCCACACUUAUUUAUUUUAUCUAAUGAUUUAAUAAAUACUUUAUAACUCACGUUUUGAAAUGAGAUUCGUUAAAAAAAACCCAAUAAACCUCUUUGGUAUGUAAGCGUUUUCUUCAAUGGAAAUUUAGGGCUUUCAAUUUUUAAUCAUCGGUUCAUGACUCAUCUAAGAAACACAGAUUGACUCUUUGAGUUUCAUGAAUCAGUUUUUCUUCUUUAGUCUCUACAUCUCCCCAUCUUUAAUAAAUUCAUCAUCGGUUCUUUUAUUUUGCUUGAUAAAUCAUGAUUGUGUGGUUUUAAUUUUCUUUGGUCAUCCUUAGUUUGUACCCUUUGAUCUAACCAAGAAGAAGAAGAAGACAUUUGUUGUUUAGGAUGUCAUCGAGGACUCAGCUGAGUCACACGGGAGACAUAUUAUCCGUUGCCUGAUUGUUCAAGAAGAGUUUCUGUGUUGUGAAACAUAUUUGUUUCUUUUCAUCAGUUGCUUUGUUUAAUCUUUCCUGCAAAUAAUGAUGGCUUUGACAGUUCAUUCACGGGAGCCAAGAAGUAAAAGAAGAAGAAGCCAGUGAGUGUUUGACAUUUUCUGUCUUCCUGAGUUUUUUUUUCCAUUCAUUAAACUUGGAUUUUGAAGAUUAUGUGCCUCACAUUCUUUUUAUUUUGAUGGUUGUUAGGUUGAAUGAAGAUCAUUGAAUAAAGAAAAUGUCGAUGCUCCUGAAGAUUUGGAGGGUACUUUAUAUUUCUUUCUCUGAUAAUUCUAGCGACAUAAAUUUGAACCUUACAGAGGGUAUAAUGCAGAGCAUCCUAAUGAUGAGGAAGAGGUGGAGGGAAUUGAUAUGCACCAGCAACGUUACCCGUGGGAGGGAAGUGACAUGGAUUACUUAUACGACGAGAGUUCUUUUGCACAGCUAUUGUCAAUGGAAUUAACACUGGAAAUUGAUGGUGCUAUAUUUCAUGUUCCAAAUGCUAACGCAAGCUCCAAUGUUGAUUCUCAGCUUUAACAUGCCAAAAUCACAAUGCAGUGGGUGUUGUAAGGUAAUUCAGUAGGCACAAAUGUUCAGUUGAAAAAAAUUCUAAACUGUAUUUAUGCAUCAAACUUAUCAUCUGUAACAUAAUAACAUGCUUUUUCUGUGCUACGAAACGUUUGUAAUUAAAUGUCUCGGAUGUAUAUGACUGCUUAGUUUGUUGCUUUUGACAGUGAAAUCACUAAACUUCCAAUGUGUCAGGACAGCAAAAGCAUCUCAGCUGAUGGUUACCUUUACAAUUUCGUUGGUUUCUUUUUCCUAUUAUGUUGGAUGGAUUAUUUUAGCUAACAAAUAUCGUAACAGAGCGCUGGCAAUAACUCUAAUAGAUUUAUAUAUACAUUUAGAAUUGGAAGUUUGGUGAGAACAGGAACAAGUACUUCUGUCACGCUAUUGGACAGUUAUACGUCAUUUCAAGAGAAUUGAUUUCUUAUAUUUCUCAUAAUCAGUAAGAUUUUAACUGUUUUGUCUACUUUCCAUUCAUACCUCAUUCUCCAUAUAACUUCUCGGUGCUACUAUAUAAUGAUCAAGUCAUUUUCUGCACAAAUAGGCAAGUGGGGAUGUUACGUUGGGUGCUUGUUUUAUUUGGCUUGGCUAUACAAAGUCUAUUGUGACUCUAAAACUUUUAUGUCAUUUAACAUUGAUUCUGGUUCUUGGGAGAAUUGCAGAUUGUGAAUGAAAGGCACAAGCAGGGAACAUAUGUAUAGCUGCAUUCGACUCGACAUGUAGCGGUAUCUGCAGAUCCGCUGAUCCCAUUGUGGAGGUUAACAUGCAAUGUGUUGACCUGGAAAUCAUUAUUUGGAAGCUACAUUUCGAGGCAUUUCCUCAACAUAUAAAUAGAUCAUAGACAGAGUUUGAUAUUUAUAAUACCCAGUGAUCAUGGAGUCGGCAGAAAACAGUCCUUUUGCAUAUUCUAUAUAGAACCAAGAGAUAUGUCAUUUGUUUGAUGAUUGUAUUAUGAUAGCUACUAACAUAGGAGAUGACUAGAGAAAGAGAAAUGAGUAUGAAACUCUUAUAUGGGUAGCUUUUGUAAACACAUUUGGGUUUAUUAACGGUUGUGACAAACAAUUAUGUUUAUAGUAAAGGAAACCCGCCGCAGCGUCAAUAACAAAUGCGCCUUUUUUUGGUUGUUUGGGAUUGAAAUAGCUUAUGAGUUUUCUAAAUCAAUAUAAUUGAUUUGACUAAAGCUAUCUUGGAUGACAAAAAGAAGGAUUGCAAGUUUAAUAACUUCUACUUUAGACUUUAAUUUCAACUAAAUUAUAAUCAGUCUUUUAUCCAUAUCAUCUUAGUUAUAAUCGUAAGGAUUUAUUAGAAUAAAUAAACAGUUUCAACAAUAUUUAGUAUGUGAUUUAAUAAACAAAAGAAUAUGUAGGAUUUUUAGGAUUUAAAGAGAUUGGAGACAAUAGUUAAUAAAUAUGAAAAGAAUACGAAGCAGAUGAUGAAAAAUGAUUCGAGCAAAUUAGUGGCAACACAGAGUUAAGCUAGAUAAAAAUAUCAACCAAUAAAGAAUGAAAGAAGAAUGAGCAGGGUUAAGUUAUUACACAAGCCAAAACUAAGACAAAUCAAACGACAGAACGUGAAAACAAAUGUAAACAAGACAAAAGGAGAUGGUGAAGAUAAAAUGCAUUGAAAAACUGAAUGCUAUAUUAGUAAGUAAGAGACAAAAAUAGAUUAAAAUGCAAAAACUCCGCGCCUUGGCGCGGGUAACGAUCUGUAGUCAUGUAAAUGUUACGGUGUGUAACUUUAUUGAUAUAGCACAUAUAAUAUAGUAUAACUUUUAUGAAAAUUCUGCUAUAAAGAUUAUAAAUGCUUUGACCAAUGUUGGCUAAUUUUCAUGUCAUAGACAAAAUGGUUUAUAGUUUUAUAUUAUACUGUUUCGAUCAAUUUGAUUAUCUUAAUUGCAACAAAAUGUCAUAACAUGUGAUAUACCAAGCUUUUAUAUUUGUUUGGUAGAUUUUUAUUACAAAAUAAGUUUAGUAAAAAGUUAAAAAUUCCAUCAACAUAUGUCGUAUAUCACAUAUAUCUGGUUAGAAAGAUGGGCUUCGUAAAAAAAAAAAAUUAUAAUUAUAUUUAAUUAGAUAGAAGUAUAAGUUAGGUACAAUUGUCAACAAAAAUAGGAUAAAACAACAGUGGCUUUAAUAUUAAUAACUGCAUAAUAAUAGUCACGUAUACGUAUAUUUUCUUUAAUUUAUUAACUUUCUAAUAAAUAGGUUUAACCACAUUUUAAAGUAGAUUUUUAAGAAUGCUUUUAUUUAAUAGUAUAGAUAUUUUGUUAUGUGUUUUUCAUAAUUAAUAGUUUUAAAUUUUUAUGAUAAUAUUUAUAUAAAUAAAUAC
Molecule: long non-coding RNA, 4909 nt
Organism: Brassica napus (rape)
Lineage: Eukaryota; Viridiplantae; Streptophyta; Magnoliopsida; Brassicales; Brassicaceae
Exons: 3
Source: RefSeq, a predicted model, not a curated record